ACGGGGCGAGCAGGCGCGAAAACUUUGCAAUGUGCGAAAGCACGACAAGGUUAAUCCGAGUGGUUUCUGCUAAAGGAACCUUUUGUUAGUCCUAGAAACACUAACGAAUAAGGGGUGGGCAAGUUCUGGUGUCAGCCGCCGCGGUAAAACCAGCACCUCAAGUGGUCAGGAUGAUUAUUGGGCCUAAAGCAUCCGUAGCCUGAUCUGUAAGUUUUCGGUUAAAUCUGUACGCUCAACGUACAGGCUGCCGGGAAUACUGCAAAUCUAGGGAGUGGGAGAGGUAGAUGGUACUCGGGAGGAAGUGGUAAAAUGCUUUGAUCUCUCGAUGACCACCUGUGGCGAAGGCGGUCUACCAGAACACGUCCGACGGUGAGGGAUGAAAGCUGGGGGAGCAAACCGGAUUAGAUACCCGGGUAGUCCCAGCUGUAAACUAUGUAAACUCAGUGAUGCAUUGGCUUGUGGCCAAUGCAGUGUUGCAGGGAAGCCGUUAAGUUUACCGCCUGGAAGUACGUACGCAA
RNAcentral lists this ribosomal RNA (518 nucleotides) under uncultured archaeon. RNAcentral's name for it is "bacterial SSU rRNA". It matches the Rfam family "Archaeal small subunit ribosomal RNA", at positions 325 to 846 of the family's 1478-position model. The record is from RNAcentral.